Molecule: ribosomal RNA, 1302 nt
Filed under: Staphylococcus sp.
Lineage: Bacteria; Bacillati; Bacillota; Bacilli; Caryophanales; Staphylococcaceae
Description: bacterial SSU rRNA
Rfam family: Bacterial small subunit ribosomal RNA
Source: RNAcentral
GGGGUGCUAUACAUGCAGUCGAGCGAACGGACGAGAAGCUUGCUUCUCUGAUGUUAGCGGCGGACGGGUGAGUAACACGUGGAUAACCUACCUAUAAGACUGGGAUAACUUCGGGAAACCGGAGCUAAUACCGGAUAAUAUUUUGAACCGCAUGGUUCAAAAGUGAAAGACGGUCUUGCUGUCACUUAUAGAUGGAUCCGCGCUGCAUUAGCUAGUUGGUAAGGUAACGGCUUACCAAGGCAACGAUGCAUAGCCGACCUGAGAGGGUGAUCGGCCACACUGGAACUGAGACACGGUCCAGACUCCUACGGGAGGCAGCAGUAGGGAAUCUUCCGCAAUGGGCGAAAGCCUGACGGAGCAACGCCGCGUGAGUGAUGAAGGUCUUCGGAUCGUAAAACUCUGUUAUUAGGGAAGAACAUAUGUGUAAGUAACUGUGCACAUCUUGACGGUACCUAAUCAGAAAGCCACGGCUAACUACGUGCCAGCAGCCGCGGUAAUACGUAGGUGGCAAGCGUUAUCCGGAAUUAUUGGGCGUAAAGCGCGCGUAGGCGGUUUUUUAAGUCUGAUGUGAAAGCCCACGGCUCAACCGUGGAGGGUCAUUGGAAACUGGAAAACUUGAGUGCAGAAGAGGAAAGUGGAAUUCCAUGUGUAGCGGUGAAAUGCGCAGAGAUAUGGAGGAACACCAGUGGCGAAGGCGACUUUCUGGUCUGUAACUGACGCUGAUGUGCGAAAGCGUGGGGAUCAAACAGGAUUAGAUACCCUGGUAGUCCACGCCGUAAACGAUGAGUGCUAAGUGUUAGGGGGUUUCCGCCCCUUAGUGCUGCAGCUAACGCAUUAAGCACUCCGCCUGGGGAGUACGACCGCAAGGUUGAAACUCAAAGGAAUUGACGGGGACCCGCACAAGCGGUGGAGCAUGUGGUUUAAUUCGAAGCAACGCGAAGAACCUUACCAAAUCUUGACAUCCUUUGACAACUCUAGAGAUAGAGCCUUCCCCUUCGGGGGACAAAGUGACAGGUGGUGCAUGGUUGUCGUCAGCUCGUGUCGUGAGAUGUUGGGUUAAGUCCCGCAACGAGCGCAACCCUUAAGCUUAGUUGCCAUCAUUAAGUUGGGCACUCUAAGUUGACUGCCGGUGACAAACCGGAGGAAGGUGGGGAUGACGUCAAAUCAUCAUGCCCCUUAUGAUUUGGGCUACACACGUGCUACAAUGGACAAUACAAAGGGCAGCGAAACCGCGAGGUCAAGCAAAUCCCAUAAAGUUGUUCUCAGUUCGGAUUGUAGUCUGCAACUCGACUACAUGAAGCU